This 3229-nucleotide ribosomal RNA is filed under the name Triticum aestivum (bread wheat). Its description in RNAcentral is "partial small subunit ribosomal RNA". The record is from RNAcentral. Lineage: Eukaryota; Viridiplantae; Streptophyta; Magnoliopsida; Poales; Poaceae.
AAAGCGCGGGGGGAAAAGGAACGGGGAGGGGCCGCAGGAACGGAGACGGUACCGGAGGCGGGGGGGAGAGGCGUAGUGGGGGCGUCGACGGAGGAGAGGACGGUGGCGCGGCGGGACCGGAGCAGAGGAGACGCGGCGGAGGGGGAGAGGCGGUGACGUACCGGCGGCAGCGAAGGCGGCGAGCAGAGAAAGAAGUGCGUCGUGGACGUCCUGCUGCGUAGGGGUAGGAGGUAGUCGGCGACACCACGCGGUACCAAGAACUGGCCGGCGUCUAGGUCCUCUUCUCCUCCUGCCGCCACCCCCCUUCCUUCUCGCGCCGGACCUGAGCCGUCCUCCUCUCCCCGUCGUCGUCUAGCCCGAGUCCAAUCCGCUCCGACCACCACGAGUCCGAAGUUCCGCACGUAAUGCACCUGUACCUCGCUCGCACCCUGUUCCCGCACCCUGUUCCACUGCCACUGGCCGUGCCGCUCGGUCUUCUUCCACAACGCGCGCCGCGCCGCGUGCUCCUUCGAACGGGUGUGGGGAGGAGGCGAGCGAGAGCAGAGGCAGUCCGACAACUCGAGGACGAAGGAGGAACUAGAAGGGUAACUAAAUCAUGAUGAUGACAUGACACACGAACACAACAAACAAACUCCCCAUGCCGAUGAUGAACACGACGACGAUCUACACACUACAACCAACAUAUACACAAAUUACAACAACCCACGACGACCAAGUUGAUGAUGGACACGACCAACUAAAUUAUAGGCAAAUAAACACUUUGACUUUUGAGGACACUCUCCGUUCCUAACUGUUCUUCCCAGACUCGGUUACUCUUCAAAAUAAAAGUCAAAAGUAUAAAUUCUUCAUUACCUCCUAUACAGUAUACAAAACAACGAUUGUAAAUGGAUACCACAUACAUCGACUACAAGUGAGGUAACCUCGACUCAGAGGAACGGCCGCUGGAACGGUAGUGGUCGGAUAGACGUCCCUACCUGUAUACCUAACUUACCAUGGGAGGACUUUAGAUGUGUCCACAGUCUAAAUUCUUUCUUCUUUAUCCCGGUUCUUAUAAUCUGGCCUCUUGCUUCUCUACUUCUUGUUACAAUCGACUUCUCAACUUCUUCUGGUUCGUGCUCAGGGAGACUUCCCGAGCUGGUGGCAGGCCAAGGUCACCUCCUGUUGUAGUGAAUCGACACCGGUAGGACCCGCGGCGCUCUUAAUCGACUUUUUAGAACGACUCUAGGUCCAGUGACCGGUAGGGGUAAGUCCAUUCGAACGAUAGAAUAACAAUCUAACGAACUGCCUUGACCCUGUUGUAAAACCAUUCGAACGGAAAGUAAAAACAAAAAGAAACUACUAAAAAAACUUUCGUAGAAACUACUUAAUGGGUAUACACCCCUAUAACGUCCACCGAGACUUUGAACAAGGAUUACUUCUAUUUAAAUACCUUCACCAAUCCCUUUGUCCUCCUCGUUAAAAUCGUACCGUCCACGAAGAGUCCAAGCUACCGAAGGCCGUUGUAGUUCCAGUAUCACGAAAGGAGCACCCAAGUCGGAAACUGUAAUUCCACUCCUCACAUAUAAAAACAAGAUAGAUUACAGAGAACGAGGACGAAGUCAUAGCUACUAGAGAGACCUCACUAACAAACUGUUACUGACAGUACAUGGGGGAGGCAAGGAUUUAUAUUCAGAAAAAUCUCUAAGGUUACGUCUGAUGUUUCUGCUUUGAUUAAAAAAACUAGACAAGAUGUGUCUACAAAAGUCAGCGACAAACGAUAUCUAUGAAACAACCAAAGUAUCCGUAUGUACCAAGGCACUCCUCUAAUGGAUGCAACAAGACAAAACAUAUCUUAGGAACGUUAUGACGAAAUGAUAGCAUUUUAUAGGAUCGGCCCAGACGUUCUAACGCGGGAGAAAAAUGGCUCCCGAACUUUCACAAUCUCUUCUAGUGUUCUUCUUCGUAUAGGGGAAAAAAACACGAAGACGGGUGCGGGACAUAUACUACAACGUCGAGUUUUAGAUGUAUUUAGAUGUACAACAACUAGACUAUUCUCUUCCGUUCCUCGACAGGCGCUAGUCAUACAUCAUUACCCGUAGUUAUAAAAGAAUAUGGCCACUAAGACAUCGCCAAUUAACUAUACUAGCGACGUGAGGGGAGGAUAUGAGGAAAUCAGGUAAAUAAGGAUCUCAUAUACAAAAAGAAACCAAUUUUGGAACUUCAUAAUUCUACAAACCCAUUUAAGAGAGUAUUUCGAACGAAAGAGGUAUCAGUACACAUGUACACAAUGAAAUAAAGGACAUCGAUAUAACGAUAAAGGGACCCCUGGACAGGGGAAAAAGGAAGCAAUAUCAUCUUACUAGUCUACUUCCUUUCUUUUUACACAAACUUAAUAGUACGCCCAGAAAUUUGUUAAUACGCACAGAAAUUUGUUAAUAUACAUACCUCAUUCUUGACAUAUAUAUCGAUAACUUUUUCUUGACAUACAUAUCAAUAGCUAUAUACUAAGAACGUAGAAUCCCCAAGUUACCGUGGGCAGAGUACAAAGAAGGUACAAUAAAAAAUGGGCUUAUAAUCCUAGUGUUGAAUUUAAUAGUGAUAUCACAGUUUCCGGCAGUAGACUUCGAUUAUUCUACAAUGAUUUCUUGUUGGGGUACCAUGAACGUGUCAUGCACCUUUUGUGGGAUUUAUCUAAUUUCUUUAGUAUGAGAUGACACUAACGUAAACCAACUACGAAUUCACAUAAAGGGUAGCCAUCUAGUUCCCCCAUUAUAAGAUGUAAAGUCCAGGUUCGAAAUUUACGUAAAAAGAUAGACAAAAAAGUAUAGGGUCACUAGUAGACGUUCUGGCUUAAAACGGUAACAACUACCACGUGUCAAGACAACGUACCAUUUGGGUUAUAACAGGGAGGAAAGUUCGAGGACGCAAGUAGGAUCUCUUUUAACACCUUUUAUGUAGACUUGAUAGAAAAUUAGAAGGUUGUCACAUGACGAUGUCUACCCGAAAUAAGUCAAUAAAAGAACUGAUCUUACUACUACAAACGCCUACCCGCAACAAGUCAGUAUUCUCGAAUAGCCAAGUCGGACGUAUCAAAACAAAGAAGUCACAUGAUACAGACUCCUUUUGUAAAUAAAACAAAGGAUAAAUUCACUUAAGUACCGACUCUACCUACUUAAAGAUAACACACCCGACCUCCAAGAACUCCACCUUUAAUCGUUCGUUCGAUGUCAGCCAGGUACCUACUGGUUCA